RNAcentral lists this ribosomal RNA (253 nucleotides) under uncultured bacterium. RNAcentral describes it as "partial 16S ribosomal RNA". It matches the Rfam family "Bacterial small subunit ribosomal RNA", at positions 524 to 776 of the family's 1533-position model. The record is from RNAcentral.
UACGUAGGGUGCGAGCGAUAAUCGGAUUUACUGGGCGUAAAGGGCGCGUAGGCGGCCAGGUGUAUCGAGGGUGAAAUCCCACGGCUCAACCGUGGGAAGUCUCUUGAGAUUACCUGGCUAGAGGGUAGAAGAGGGAGAUGGAAUUCCCGGUGUAGCGGUGAAAUGCGUAGAUAUCGGGAAGAACGCCGGUGGUGAAGACGGUCUCCUGGGCUACACCUGACGCUGAGGCGCGAAAGCUAGGGGAGCGAACGGG